AUAUGUGGCUUUGUUAUUCUAUUCCUGCAUUAAUUCACUUAGGAUUAUGGCCUCCAGCUCCAAUCAUGCUGCUACAAAGGAUAUGAUUACAUUUUUGUUUAUGGCUGUGUAGUAUCCCAUGGUGUAUAUGUAUGAAGAUAUAUAUG
Molecule: long non-coding RNA, 146 nt
Organism: Sapajus apella (tufted capuchin)
Lineage: Eukaryota; Metazoa; Chordata; Mammalia; Primates; Cebidae
Exons: 3
Source: RefSeq, a predicted model, not a curated record